Molecule: ribosomal RNA, 563 nt
Filed under: uncultured bacterium
Lineage: Bacteria
Description: bacterial SSU rRNA
Rfam family: Bacterial small subunit ribosomal RNA
Source: RNAcentral
UGGCGGCGCGCUUACACAUGCAAGUCGAACGAGAAAGGGGAGCAAUCCCUGAGUACAGUGGCGUACGGGUGAGUAACACGUGGGUGAUCUACCUGUUAGUGGGGAAUACCCCCGGGAAACUGGGGACAAUACCGCAUAAUCCCGCAAGGGGAAAGUAGCAAUACGCUGACAGAGGAGCCCGCGGCUGAUUAGCUAGUUGGUGAGGUAAUGGCUCACCAAGGCUGCGAUCGGUAGCCGGCCUGAGAGGGCACACGGCCACACUGGCACUGAAACACGGGCCAGACUCCUACGGGAGGCAGCAGUGGGGAAUCUUGCACAAUGGGGGAAACCCUGAUGCAGCGACGCCGCGUGAGCGAUGAAGUCCUUCGGGAUGUAAAGCUCUUUCGACGGGAACGAUAAUGACGGUACCCGGAGAAGAAGCUGCGGCUAACUACGUGCCAGCAGCCGCGGUAAUACGUANGCAGCGAGCGUUGUUCGGAAUUACUGGGCGUAAAGAGUGUGUANGCGGUUGGGUAAGUUUGGUGUGAAAUCUCCCGGCUUAACUGGGAGGGUGCGCCGAAAAC